GACGAACGCUGGCGGCGUGCCUAACACAUGCAAGUCGAACGAAACGUCCGGGUCUUUUGGCGCACGGGUGCGUACGGCGUGGGAAGCUGCACUUGGGUAUGGUCUACCUACCCGAGGGGGAUGCUCAUGCAGCAUGGUGUCUUAGGCCCAAGGAUUUAUUGCUUUAGGUUGGGCCCUCGUUGGAUUCGGUUGUUGGUAGGGUAAAAGCAUACUAAGGGGAGGAUUCAUAGCUGGUGUGAGAGCAUGAUUAGCCACACUUGGGUUACGACACGGCCCAGCCUCCUACGGAACGGAGCAGAGGGUAACAUUGGACAAUGGGCGAAAGCCUGAUCCAGCAAUGCCGGGUAAGUGAUGAAGGCCGUAGGGUUCUAAAGCUCUUUUACCCGGGAUGAUAAUGACGGUACCGGGAGAAGAAGCUCCGGCUAACUCCGUG
Molecule: ribosomal RNA, 433 nt
Filed under: uncultured bacterium
Lineage: Bacteria
Description: partial 16S ribosomal RNA
Rfam family: Bacterial small subunit ribosomal RNA
Source: RNAcentral